RNAcentral lists this ribosomal RNA (446 nucleotides) under uncultured bacterium. RNAcentral's name for it is "bacterial SSU rRNA". It matches the Rfam family "Bacterial small subunit ribosomal RNA", at positions 330 to 792 of the family's 1533-position model. The record is from RNAcentral.
CCCAGACUCCUACGGGAGGCAGCAGUGGGGAAUAUUGCACAAUGGGGGAAACCCUGAUGCAGCGACGCCGCGUGAGUGAGGAAGUAUUUCGGUAUGUAAAGCUCUAUCAGCAGGGAAGAAAAAAUGACGGUUCCUGACUAAGAAGCACCGGCUAAAUACGUGCCAGCAGCCGCGGUAAUACGUAUGGUGCAAGCGUUAUCCGGAUUUACUGGGUGUAAAGGGAGCGCAGGCGGUACGGCAAGUCUGAUGUGAAAGCCGGGGGCACAACCCCGGCGAGCCGUUGAAACUGGCUGUCUUGAGAUGUCGAGAGGUAUGCGGAAUGCGCAGUGUAGCGGUGAAAUGCUUAGAUAUUGCGCAGAACUCCGAUUGCGAAGGCAGCAUACCGGCGGCGAUCUGACGCUGAGGCACGAAAGCGUGGGUAUCGAACAGGAUUAGAUACCCUAGUA